This 73-nucleotide transfer RNA is filed under the name Bos taurus (domestic cattle). It matches the Rfam family "tRNA". From Rfam's summary of the family: Transfer RNA (tRNA) molecules are approximately 80 nucleotides in length. Lineage: Eukaryota; Metazoa; Chordata; Mammalia; Artiodactyla; Bovidae. The record is from Rfam by way of RNAcentral. RNAcentral also lists the same sequence under 1 other name.
UCCUUGGUGGUCCAGGGGCUGAGACCCUGCAUUCCCAACGCGGGGGGCCUGGGUUCGAACCCUGGUCAGGGAA